GGUCACAGACAGAAGAGGUCCACAAGGCAAAGGAUGCAGACAGCCUGUAGGAGCUGAGACUGGCUCCUGGCUGACAGCCAGCAAGGAAAUGAGGACCUCAGUCCUCCAAUCAUGAAGCAGACUCCGACUUCUGCUAACAACCUGAAUACACUUCAAAGAGGAUUCUGAGCUCCAGCCGCCUACACAUUGAUUUCAGCUGUUGGGACCCUCAGCCGAGAACCCAGCUAUGCCGUGCCCAGAU
Molecule: long non-coding RNA, 241 nt
Filed under: Homo sapiens (human)
Lineage: Eukaryota; Metazoa; Chordata; Mammalia; Primates; Hominidae
Description: non-protein coding lnc-KATNAL2-1:2
Source: RNAcentral